This 2075-nucleotide ribosomal RNA is filed under the name human gut metagenome. Its description in RNAcentral is "bacterial LSU rRNA". It matches the Rfam family "Bacterial large subunit ribosomal RNA", at positions 494 to 2555 of the family's 2925-position model. The record is from RNAcentral.
ACCAGUACCGUGAGGGAAAGGUGAAAAGCACCCCGGGAGGGGAGUGAAACAGUACCUGAAACCGUGCGCCCACGAGCAGUCGGAGCACCCUUGUGGUGUGACGGCGUGCCUUUUGUAGAAUGAGCCAGCGAGUCGCUGGCGCGGGGCGAGGUUAACCGAGAGGGAGCCGGAGCGAAAGCGAGCCUUAACAGGGCGACUUGAGUCCCGCGCCGCGGACGCGAAGCCGGGUGAGCUAUCCGUGGGCAGGCUGAAGCGGGGGUAAGACCCCGUGGAGGGCCGAACGCACGUCGGUUGAAAACGGCGGCGAUGACCUGCGGAUAGGGGUGAAAGGCCAAUCAAACCCGGAGAUAUCUCGUUCUCCCCGAAAUAGCUUUAGGGCUAGCGUCGCGCGUUCACCGCCGGAGGUAGAGCACCGGAUGGACGAGGGGGCUUCGCCGCCUACCGAAUCCAACCGAACUCCGAAUGCCGGCGGCCCAGAGCGCGGCAGUCAGAGCAUGUGGGCUAAGCUGUGUGCUCGAGAGGGAAACAGCCCGGACCGCCCGCUAAGGUCCCCAAGUUCCAGCCGAGUGGCAAAGGAUGUGCGUCCGCCCAGACAACCAGGAUGUUGGCUUAGAAGCAGCCAUGCAUUCAAAGAGUGCGUAACAGCUCACUGGUCGAGUGGACAUGCGCCGACAAUACACGGGGCUAAGCUGGACACCGAAGCGGCGGGAUUUUGAUUUUCAGAAUCGGUAGGGGAGCUUCCCAUGGGCGGGGAAGCCGCCGGGCGACCGGCGGUGGAGCGCAUGGGAGUGAGAAUGCUGGCAUGAGUAGCGAGAGACGAGAGAGUAACUCGUCCGCCGUGAACCCGAGGUUUCCUGGGCAAGGCUAAUCCUCCCAGGGUCAGUCGGGGGCUAAGGCGAGGCCGGGAGGCGUAGCCGACGCGCAGCAGGCAGACAUUCCUGCACCGCGCACGCGGCGCUACGACCGACGGGGCGACGGAUGGGGGUGGCUCGGCGGGGUUCUGGACGUCCCCGUGAUGGAGCGCGGCCCGCGGACCAGGGAAAUCCGGUCCGCAGAAGGGCGAGGCUCCGGACGAAGCGACUGAGCGAAGCGAGUGAGCCCGAGGUCCCUAGAAAAACCCCUAGGCAGGCGCGUGCGCGCCCGUACCGCAAACCGACACAGGUGGGUGGGUAGAACAUACCGAGGCGAUCGGGUCAACCAUGGUCAAGGAACUCGGCACAAUGGCCCCGUAACUUCGGGAGAAGGGGUGCCCGCGCGUACGUGAACCGGCUUGCCCGGGGAGCGGAGGCGGGCCGCAGUGGAGAGGCCCAAGCGACUGUUUACCAAAAACACAGGACUCUGCAGAAGCCGCAAGGCGACGUAUAGGGUCUGACGCCUGCCCGGUGCCGGAAGGUCACGCGGAGGGGUUAGCCGCAAGGCGAAGCCCCGAAGCCAAGCCCCGGUAAACGGCGGCCGUAACUAUAACGGUCCUAAGGUAGCGAAAUUCCUUGUCGGGUAAGUUCCGACCUGCACGAAAGGCGCAACGACUUGGGCGCUGUCUCGACCAUGGACCCGGUGAAAUUGCACUGGUCGUGAAGAUGCGACUUACCCGCGGAAGGACGGAGAGACCCCGUGAACCUUCACUGCAGCUUGGCAUUGGCCGCUGGUCCCGCGUGUAGAGGAUAGGCAGGAGGCAUCGAUCCGGAGGCGCCAGCCCCCGGGGAGCCGCCCUUGGAAUACUGCCCUCGCGCGACCGGCGUCCUAACCCGAGGCCGUCGACCGGCUCGGGGACCGUGCCAGGCGGGCAGUUUGACUGGGGCGGUCGCCUCCUAAAGGGUAACGGAGGCGCGCGAAGGUCCGCUCGGGACGGUCGGCAACCGUCCUUUUGAAUGCAAGAGUACAAGCGGGCUUGACUGCGAGGCCCACAAGCCGAGCAGGUGCGAAAGCAGGCUCUAGUGAUCCGGCGGCCCCGAGUGGGUGGGCCGUCGCUCAACGGAUAAAAGGUACUCCGGGGAUAACAGGCUGAUCUUGCCCAAGAGUCCACAUCGACGGCAAGGUUUGGCACCUCGAUGUCGGCUCAUCGCAUCCUGGGGCUG